This is a long non-coding RNA of Gallus gallus (chicken), 492 nucleotides long. RefSeq lists it as uncharacterized. NCBI's taxonomy places the organism in Eukaryota, Metazoa, Chordata, Aves, Galliformes, Phasianidae. The transcript has 3 exons. The record is from RefSeq and is a predicted model, not a curated record.
AGAAACCUUUGACGUUAUUAUGAAACACUGUCACCAGCAAGACAGGUUAUUUAAAGCAAGGAGACAGAUGGACAAUGGAAGAUGUCAGACUGUAAUGCUUGAUAUAUAUUCCACAUGCAGGGUGAACUGGAUAUGGACCAUUUUACUUUCCAAUGAAGUAAGCAGUCCUGAACAUACAUUCAUUUCUGAGCUUUGGUGGUGCUUUUGGUCACAUAGGGGAGACAAAAACUGCAGAGAGAUGGCAAAGGUAUGCAGCAAUCUCAUCUAUUGCACCAGGAUUUGCCUUAGGAUCAGCCAUCCCCCACUGACUAUUUCUAUUUUCCAGGGAAAUAAUAGUUUACCUCUUCACUGGCUGCCUGAGGUAUUCAUCCCCAUGCACUUAGACAGAAAAUACAGAGCAGUACAUAAAAGUUCUUCUAGUCCUUGUUCUUUCCCACCACCUUGUGUCUGCGUUUCAUCAGUGGUAUUUCUAGUCUCCCCAGCCAGACCAGA